UACAGAGGGUGCGAGCGUUGUCCGGAAUCACUGGGCGUAAAGGGCGCGUAGGUGGCGGGCCAAGUCCAUGGUGAAAGCUCGAUGCUCAACAUCGAGUCGGCCACGGAUACUGGUUCGCUCGAGCACUGUAGAGGCUAAUGGAAUUCCGGGUGUAGCGGUGGAAUGCGUAGAGAUCCGGAAGAACACCGAUGGCGAAGGCACUUUACUGGGCUAUUACUAACACUCAGAGACGAAAGCUAGGGUAGCAAAUGGG
Molecule: ribosomal RNA, 253 nt
Filed under: uncultured bacterium
Lineage: Bacteria
Description: partial 16S ribosomal RNA
Rfam family: Bacterial small subunit ribosomal RNA
Source: RNAcentral